CUUCAGCAGCACGGUACCCACACGGGGAGCACAGCUGAAUUAUUUCAGUUUUAUCAAGAAAUCAGAAGGCUAUCAGAAACGACCUCUUCACUUUUGCUGAGGCCAGCGGCGAAUGGACCUUCAUGUCUUGUCUAUGGACAGACUAAGGACACACUGGAGACACAGAGACUCGAGAUGGUGGAGCAGUUUAAGAAGAUGUCCAUGGAGAAAGCUAUGGUUCUCAUUCAUCAACAUAUGCAGCAGACCUUCGCACUGAGGCGGGAAGAAAUAGUACAUUCAGACCCUCCCAUUGUUGAUGUUGUUGCAAGAUGGCCUGCACUCUACUGUGAAGCCCAGUCUUCGCUACUCCUUCUUUGCUGCACUCGACAAGCACACACCUCAGCUUUUAAAGCUCUACCAAAUGAAGAAAAUCUGAAGUUUCGGUGAAAGGUUACAAGCUCUUCUAAUGGGACCAGGACAAGAACAACAUUACUGCAGCGAGGACAGCAGCCCUGGCCGGCCUCCCGCUGUACCUAAAGGAGGAUUUUUCUGGUGUCUUCAAAACUUCACAGGAUGAAGAGGCACCCCAUGGUGAAGCAGUGGCUCUGCUGACUGUGGUCAGUGAGGAUGAGGUGCCAACUGGGAUACCUUUUGAAACACACCAUGUGUCCAUCGUCCUCGAGGGUCAGGUUCUAAUGUCUCACAGAUCCCUUGAGUAGCUGUUGUUUUGAAUAUUAUGCUUUUCCAAUUUGAAAAAAGAUAUUCCAGUACAUUUCUACAUUUUCAAACUUCCAUGAGUCAGUCUCAUUGUGACAACAAUCUAAGUUGUAUGUUUGAGUUUCAAGUUUGUAUUCUCGAAAAUAUGGUUUUGUAAUUUCAAUUAGAAGUCUACACAAGGUAACACAGAAAAGCAUUGACAUUUCUGGAAAUGUCUUAAGUAAUAUAGAAUUACUCAGUUUGCUAGUUUUGUGUGGAUCAGCUUUAUUUUGAGGGUGUGAAAUCAAGCAGUUUUUUUCUGCUUGAUUUCACAUUUUAAGUGUGUUGCUGCCUCCCUUAAUUCUUAAGGUCUUGUAGACUUAAACAGUCUAUUGAACAAUCUUCAAUAAAGAAUGCUUGUAUUGUUUUUAAAUAAAUGGCAAAUUUGUUUUAAAUAAUUGU
Doryrhamphus excisus (bluestripe pipefish) is the source of this 1137-nucleotide non-coding RNA. NCBI's taxonomy places the organism in Eukaryota, Metazoa, Chordata, Actinopteri, Syngnathiformes, Syngnathidae. The record is from RefSeq and is a predicted model, not a curated record.